AGUGAACGCUGGCGGCGUGCUUAACACAUGCAAGUCGAACGAGAACGGAUUAUAGCUUGCUAUAAUUGUCAGCUAAGUGGCGCACGGGUGAGUAAUAUAUAGGUAAUGUGCCCUAGAGAAGAGGAUAACAGUUGGAAACGACUGCUAAGACUCUAUAUGCCUUUAAGACAGAAGUCUGCAAGGGAAAUAUUUAUUGGUAAGAGAUUGGCCUGUAUUGUAUCAGUUAGUUGGUGGGGUAAUGGCCUACCAAGACUAUGACGCAUAACUGGUUUGAGAGGAUGAUCAGUCACACUGGAACUGAGACACGGUCCAGACUCCUACGGGAGGCAGCAGUGGGGAGUAUUGCACAAUUGGACGAAAGUCUGAUGCAGCAACGCCGCGUGGAGGAUGACACAUUUCGGUGCGUAAACUCCUUUUAUAUAAGAAGAUAAUGACCGGUAUUAUAUGAAUAAG
This 453-nucleotide ribosomal RNA is filed under the name uncultured bacterium. RNAcentral's name for it is "bacterial SSU rRNA". It matches the Rfam family "Bacterial small subunit ribosomal RNA", at positions 29 to 490 of the family's 1533-position model. The record is from RNAcentral.